CUGCUGGGCUACGUAAGGGGCUUGUUCUAUUAUUGUCUUCAUUUUAUUGUUACUAAACC
This is a non-coding RNA of Vicugna pacos (alpaca), 59 nucleotides long. The record is from Rfam. Lineage: Eukaryota; Metazoa; Chordata; Mammalia; Artiodactyla; Camelidae.